AUGCUUGGCGGCGAGGUCUCGGAGGGAGACGUGCGGGAGGGAACCGACGAGGUGCAGGUGGCCGAUGACGGGGAGCCUGCUCGGAGGAGACGGCAGCCUGCCCAGCAGCUCUUCUCUGGCUCUCGCGGUGGCCGCGGCCGUCGACGGCGUUGCGAGGCGGCGCACGAGCAGGAGGAGAAGAAGAGGGCAGACGAGCAGGACAAAGACCAGUCCUAG
This 216-nucleotide ribosomal RNA is filed under the name Triticum aestivum (bread wheat). RNAcentral's name for it is "partial small subunit ribosomal RNA". Lineage: Eukaryota; Viridiplantae; Streptophyta; Magnoliopsida; Poales; Poaceae. The record is from RNAcentral.